GUGGUUUCAAAAUAUACAACGCGAUACCUCAUGCUUUGGACUAACUUGUAACCCUGACGGAAAUCGGUAAAAUUAACGGGAACUGAUGAAAGGACCAAAAUACCGUUGUAUAAAUAACCAAAAGCAUAUUGAACACAGUCAAAUUAUUCUUUCUCCAUUCUCUCUUCCUUCAGUCUAGCAACUUUCUUGGCCAAAACUUUUGCAAAAGAACAAACAUGCACCAGUUCACUCCUCAUUCAAAUUAAAAGCAUUACAGUAUAUUAAAAGCAUUACUGUUGGCCUGAGCCGCAGCAAAAGAGAAUUCUCCACAAAAAUGCUUCUCAAGAUCUUUGUACCAAAUCGAGGGGUCAUCUUCCUCGCCUAACAUAGUGAUACUAGCAUCUUCAUUGUUAAUAUUGCGGUUGCUAUUAUCAUCCCUGUUCAUACGUACAUAUUGACUCAAAGGUCGCCAACAAGCUGACACUGUUUUCCCCAACGACGAAGACAUGUUUCAUUUCCCUAUAUCUUCUUGGCUCCUGGCUUUUUUCAAGACUGAUGAUUUUAAGCCACCAAUCCCACUAAUUCCCUGGUAUCGUCGAAAUUCAAGGAAAGCGCAUAUAAAAUUUUGAUCAAGAAACAAAAACCCAGUAAGAAUUGUAGAGCUGAAAUUAAGGACUGGAGCAGUUACUGCAGCAAAAGAAGAAUUCAGGGGGGAAAUAAUAUCACAAAAGAGAAAAUUUAACAGAAGCCCACUAAAACCCAAAUGGAAAUAUCGAUAAAAAAACCGAAGCCCAGACAGGAUUGAUCAAUGUGAUGAGUAGCAGGCGUUAGAAUUCAAGGCUGGAGCAGUUAAUGCAGACAAAGAAAAAAAAUCAGGGACACAAAUUCAAGAAAAGAAUGAGUCUGGAGUCUUUUCGUAUAAAAGUGGAGUGGAAAAGAAUCAGAGAGUGACGAGCAAGAGAACCCAAAUAGGGAUUCUCAUGAGUGCAGACGUAAAAAACUGGAAAGAU
This 989-nucleotide long non-coding RNA is filed under the name Coffea arabica (coffee). RNAcentral describes it as "long non-coding RNA (CARA_LNC003507)". Lineage: Eukaryota; Viridiplantae; Streptophyta; Magnoliopsida; Gentianales; Rubiaceae. The record is from RNAcentral.